This 492-nucleotide ribosomal RNA is filed under the name uncultured bacterium. Its description in RNAcentral is "partial 16S ribosomal RNA". It matches the Rfam family "Bacterial small subunit ribosomal RNA", at positions 29 to 507 of the family's 1533-position model. The record is from RNAcentral.
AGUGAACGCUGGCGGCAGGCCUAACACAUGCAAGUCGAGCGGCAGCACAGAGCUAGCUCCCUGUUUCGGGUGCGGACUGGCGGGUGGGUCAGGAGAACAUCGGAAUCUGUGUGUUCUUGGGGGAGAACGCGGGGGCACAUACGCUAAUAGCGCAGACGACGAACGGGUGGAAGCAGGGGAUCUCCCGCCCUUGCGCGAUUGUAGGAGCCGAGGUCGGAUUAGCUAGUUGGCGGGGUAAAGGCCCACCAAGGCGACGAUCCGUAGCUGGUCUGAGAGGAUGAUCAGCCACACUGGAACUGAGACACGGUCCAGACUCCUACGGGAGGCAGCAGUGGGGAAUAUUGGACAAUGGGCGCAAGCCUGAUCCAGCCAUGCCGCGUGUGUGAAGAAGGCCUUCGGGUUGUAAAGCCCUUUUGUUUGGGAAGAAAAGCAGCAGGUUAAUACCCCGCUGUUCUGACGGUACCCAAAGAAUAAGCACCGGCUAACUUCGUG